RNAcentral lists this ribosomal RNA (253 nucleotides) under uncultured bacterium. Its description in RNAcentral is "partial 16S ribosomal RNA". It matches the Rfam family "Bacterial small subunit ribosomal RNA", at positions 524 to 776 of the family's 1533-position model. The record is from RNAcentral.
UACGAAGGGGGCUAGCGUUGUUCGGAAUUACUGGGCGUAAAGCGCGUGUAGGCGGGUCUUUAAGUCAGGGGUGAAAUGCCAAGGCUCAACCUUGGAACUGCCUUUGAUACUGGAGAUCUUGAGUCCGGGAGAGGUGAGUGGAAUUGCGAGUGUAGAGGUGAAAUUCGUAGAUAUUCGCAAGAACACCAGUGGCGAAGGCGGCUCACUGGCCCGGAACUGACGCUGAGACGCGAAAGCGUGGGGAGCAAGCAGG